Molecule: ribosomal RNA, 114 nt
Filed under: Zingiber officinale
Lineage: Eukaryota; Viridiplantae; Streptophyta; Magnoliopsida; Zingiberales; Zingiberaceae
Source: RNAcentral
GCGAUCAUACCACGACUAAUGCACCGGAUCCCAUCAGAACUCCGAAGUUAAGCGUGCUUGGGCGAGAGCAGUACUAGGAUGGGUGACCCCCUGGGAAGUCCUCGUGUUGCACCU